RNAcentral lists this ribosomal RNA (506 nucleotides) under uncultured bacterium. RNAcentral's name for it is "bacterial SSU rRNA". It matches the Rfam family "Bacterial small subunit ribosomal RNA", at positions 10 to 507 of the family's 1533-position model. The record is from RNAcentral.
AGUUUGAUCCUGGCUCAGGAUGAACGCUAGCGGCAGGCUUAAUACAUGCAAGUCGUGGGGCAGCAGGUUUGUAGCAAUACAGAUGCUGGCGACCGGCAAACGGGUGCGGAACACGUACAGAACCUUCCUUUGAGCGGGGAAUUAGCCCAGAAGAAAUUUGGAUUAAUACCCCAUAGUAUAAUGAAGUGGCAUCACUUUAUUAUUAAAGAUUUAUCACUCGAAGAUGGCUGUGCGGCUGAUUAGGUAGUUGGCGGGGUAAAGGCCCACCAAGCCUGCGAUCAGUAACUGGUGUGAGAGCACGACCAGUCACACGGGCACUGCGACACGGGCCCGACUCCUACGGGAGGCAGCAGUAAGGAAUAUUGGUCAAUGGAGGCAACUCUGAACCAGCCAUGCCGCGUGGAGGAUGAAGGUCCUCUGGAUUGUAAACUUCUUUAUAUGGGACGAAAAAAGGCUUUCUAAGUCGUCUGACGGUACCAUAUGAAUAAGCACCGGCUAACUCCGUG